Molecule: ribosomal RNA, 468 nt
Filed under: uncultured bacterium
Lineage: Bacteria
Description: partial 16S ribosomal RNA
Rfam family: Bacterial small subunit ribosomal RNA
Source: RNAcentral
GACGAACGCUGGCGGCGUGCUCAACACAUGCAAGUCGAACGGUGAUGCUCCAGCUUGCUGGAGUGGAUCAGUGGCGAACGGGUGAGUAACACGUGAGCAACCUGCCCCAGACUCUGGAAUAAGCGCUGGAAACGGCGUCUAAUACUGGAUACGAAACUGGCCCGCAUGGGCAUGGUUUGGAAAGUUUUUCGGUUUGGGAUGGGCUCGCGGCCUAUCAGCUUGUUGGUGAGGUAAUGGCUCACCAAGGCGACGACGGGUAGCCGGCCUGAGAGGGCGACCGGCCACACUGGGACUGAGACACGGCCCAGACUCCUACGGGAGGCAGCAGUGGGGAAUAUUGCACAAUGGGCGAAAGCCUGAUGCAGCGACGCCGCGUGAGGGAUGACGGCCUUCGGGUUGUAAACCUCUUUCAGCAGGGAAGAAGCGAAAGUGACGGUACCUGCAGAAGAAGCACCGGCUAACUACGUG